UGAGCAUCGUCUCGCUUGCAGCUGGUC
RNAcentral lists this non-coding RNA (27 nucleotides) under Homo sapiens (human). The record is from RNAcentral. Lineage: Eukaryota; Metazoa; Chordata; Mammalia; Primates; Hominidae.